GUGAAGGAUGAGGACCAGAUUGCAGAAGAGAUUCGAAUGUUGCCUGAUGUUGUUGUGCCGGGGAAGGCAGGAUCUGAGAUCGUUGAGCGCCUGAAGGAGAAGAAGCACACGGAGCACAUGAAGGCUGUGGCCGAUAUGCAAAUGAGCCUGGCCGCUCUCAGUCAGGACUUUGAGAUGCUCAUCAAGCACAGAGCAGAAGACCUCUUGAGGAAGAUGUCACGAUGUGACGAGAACGUGGAGAGGCAGAUGCGGAGAAUGGAGAACAUCUCCGACCUCGAGAUGCUCAGCCUUCAGGAUGUGAACGGGCUCCGGGAUUCCGUGAGUCGGGAGUUUCAGGAGAAGCGGAAGCUGAUCGAGGAGCUGGACCAAGCGCUGAACCAGUACGAACGUGAGAGAACGGCCACGGUGAGGGCCGCACGUGCGAACGAACGCUGGAGCGCGUGGCUGUCGAGGCGAACUUGGCAUUUGAGUCGCUCGUUCGUUGCGUCCCUUUUUCCGAGGCUGCUGCUCUGCUGAAGAGGUGCGCCGGGAUCCUGGAGACGAUCGGCCACGCGAGGCCACGCGAUAUCCGACGGCUCGCGGACAGCGAAGCCACGGUAGGCCUCCUCCGUGUCGCCGACCUCUGCGACGGAGGCCCGGUCGUGCAGAGCAGCACACCGGAGAGCAUGAGGCUCUCUCCCCUCAGGCGGUGAACCGGGCGGCGCUGGAGAACCGGCGCGCCGCUGCCCAGCUGGUGGCCGACCUGACCGAGAGGCACCUGCGGAGCCGGCAGCUCCGCGGACUUCGCUGGGAGGGACGGGUGCAGGAGUGGAGGAGCCUCAAGGUCAGAGCUGCGGUUGACAGGUUCAGGUAUGUCGGUGCGUUACGAGACAAGGCAACGCAACAGAGCGCGGCGUGGCGCAGCGUGGCGCAGCGUGGCGCAGCGUGGCACAGCAUGGCACAGCGUAGCACUGCAUAACACGCACCGUUUGUGUGUUGACCAGUAAAUCCACGUACCCCAGAAAAAAGGACUGACUCACGCAGCUCAGUAAACACCACGCGUGCUGGUUUUGGUUCCCCGAACAAAUACUUACAUGCACCAUAUUGUGUGUUAUACCGUGCGAUUAGGGAAUUCAUGGACAAGCUGCCCACGCAACACCUCUGCAAAGUGGAGGUGACGCUGAAGAGCUUGAGGAUGGCGCAGGAGUCCCUGGGGGAGGAGCGCAUGGCGGCCUUGCAGGCACUCAGGUGACGUCCAUGAGGUGUAUCCCAGAGGGCGGUGGCCCGGAGAGCGUUAACUACUGUCGCUUGUGCACAGCAGUACCGAUAGAACUUUUUCCGGUUCCUUCCUUCCCAGCUCCUUCACGCCCCCAACCUGCUCCGAGGCGCUGGUGGCCCAGUGGUGCUCCUCUCUGGCUGCAGUCGAUGAAAAGAUCGGUGGGUAGCUCCCGUCUUUACCGUAUCUGCUCCGUUCCAGCCGUUUCGCCAUUUCUGUCCUCUGUUCCAGCUCUUUGCAUUUGCUCCGGGUCUCCAGACC
RNAcentral lists this long non-coding RNA (1516 nucleotides) under Scleropages formosus (Asian bonytongue). RNAcentral's name for it is "lncRNA (ENSSFOG00015030713.1)". Lineage: Eukaryota; Metazoa; Chordata; Actinopteri; Osteoglossiformes; Osteoglossidae. The record is from RNAcentral.